Molecule: ribosomal RNA, 274 nt
Filed under: uncultured bacterium
Lineage: Bacteria
Description: partial 16S ribosomal RNA
Rfam family: Bacterial small subunit ribosomal RNA
Source: RNAcentral
AUACGGAGGGUGCAAGCGUUAAUCGGAAUUACUGGGCGUAAAGAGUACGUAGGCGGUUCGUUAAGUUAGAUGUGAAAGCCCCGGGCUUAACCUGGGAACUGCAUUUAAAACUGGCGAACUAGAGUUGAGUAGAGGGGAGUGGAAUUUCAGGUGUAGCGGUGAAAUGCGUAGAGAUCUGAAGGAACACCAGUGGCGAAGGCGACUCCCUGGACUCGAACUGACGCUGAGGUACGAAAGCGUGGGUAGCAAACGGAAUUAGAUACCCUAGUAGUCC